Molecule: ribosomal RNA, 1341 nt
Filed under: Triticum aestivum (bread wheat)
Lineage: Eukaryota; Viridiplantae; Streptophyta; Magnoliopsida; Poales; Poaceae
Description: partial small subunit ribosomal RNA
Source: RNAcentral
AUGCCUUCACUUGGCUUGGCUCUCGUGCUGCUGGUCUCUUUGGUCUCUCCGACCAGCUCCUGCACCGAGCAGGAGAAGAGCUCCCUUCUCCAGCUCCUCGCCGGGCUCUCGCAGGACGGCGGCCUCACGACGUCGUGGCAGCACGACACCGACUGCUGCACAUGGGAAGGGAUCACCUGCAACCAAGAUAGGAAGGUCACUGAUGUUUCGUUGGCUUCUCGAGGCCUCGAGGGGCCCAUCUCGCUGUUCCUUGGCAACCUCACCGGACUUUUGCGCCUCAACCUUUCCCGGAACUUGCUGUCUGGUGGCUUGCCACUGGAAUUAGUGUCAUCCAGCAGCAUCCUUGUUCUUGACAUCAGCUUCAACCGCCUCACAGGAGGCCUGAGCGAGCUGCCAUCUUCAACCCCUGCGCGGCCUCUGCAGGUGAUGAAGAGCCUGGUCAUUCUUAAUGCUAGUUCCAACAGAUUUACUGGUCAGAUACCAACUACACAAUGUGUUAGCGCGCCAUCUUUUGUUGUGCUUGAGCUCAGUUUCAACCAACUCAGUGGGAACAUCCCUCCAGGACUCAGUAAUUGCUCGGUGCUGAAAUUGAUUGGUGUUGGCUACAACAACCUCAAUGGCACGCUUCCAAAUGAACUCUUCAACGUAACCACGUUAGAGCACCUCUCGUUGCCUAACAAUAGGUUAGAAGGAGCUCUCGAUGGCAUUAGCAAGCUCACAAAUCUGGUCACCCUUGAUCUUGGCGGGAAUGAGCUCAGCGGCAAUAUUCCAGAGUCUAUAGGUGAUCUGAAGAGAUUGGAGAAGCUGCAUUUGGAACACAACAACAUGUCAGGGGAGCUGCCAGCAGCUCUAGGCAACUGCACAAAAAGCAUAUACUCCUGCAGCAAGCUGACGGCACUACGGCUAUCUUACAAUCCUUUCCAUGGUCAAUUGUCAGAAAAAAUAGGCAAUCUGAAGUCCCUCUUAUUCCUAUCACUUGCUAAUAACUCUCUUACAAAUAUCACAAGAACACUUCAGAUGCUUAGCAGUUCCAGGAGCCUCACCACCCUUUAUAUUGGGUGCAACUUCCUGCAUGAGACCAUGCCAGAGGAUGUCAGCAUUGAUGGUUUUCAGAAUCUCCAGGUUCUUUCUAUAAAUCAUUGUUCAUUGUGUGGAAAAAUACCUGAUUGGCUAUCAAAGCUACCGAAUUUGGGGAUGCUAUUUUUGCAAGGCAAUCAACUAACUGGACCGAUACCUGAAUGGAUCAGCAGCCUAAAUUUUCUCUUCUCUCUAGAUAUAUCAAACAACAGCCUUACAGGGGAAAUUCCAAGGUUCUUAAUGGAGAUGCCAAUGCUAGAAUGA